Molecule: ribosomal RNA, 468 nt
Filed under: uncultured bacterium
Lineage: Bacteria
Description: partial 16S ribosomal RNA
Rfam family: Bacterial small subunit ribosomal RNA
Source: RNAcentral
GACGAACGCUGGCGGCGUGCUUAACACAUGCAAGUCGAACGGAAAGGCCCUGCUUUUGUGGGGUGCUCGAGUGGCGAACGGGUGAGUAACACGUGAGUAACCUGCCCUUGACUUUGGGAUAACUUCAGGAAACUGGGGCUAAUACCGGAUAGGAGCUCCUGCUGCAUGGUGGGGGUUGGAAAGUUUCGGCGGUUGGGGAUGGACUCGCGGCUUAUCAGCUUGUUGGUGGGGUAGUGGCUUACCAAGGCUUUGACGGGUAGCCGGCCUGAGAGGGUGACCGGCCACAUGGGGACUGAGAGACGGCCCAGACUCCUACGGGAGGCAGCAGUGGGGAAUAUUGCACAAUGGGCGGAAGCCUGAUGCAGCAACGCCGCGUGCGGGAUGACGGCCUUCGGGUUGUAAACCGCUUUCGCCUGUGACGAAGAGUGAGUGACGGUAAUGGGUAAAGAAGCACCGGCUAACUACGUG